RNAcentral lists this ribosomal RNA (368 nucleotides) under uncultured organism. RNAcentral describes it as "bacterial SSU rRNA". It matches the Rfam family "Bacterial small subunit ribosomal RNA", at positions 526 to 896 of the family's 1533-position model. The record is from RNAcentral.
CGGAGGUGGCGAGCGUUACUCGGAAUCAUUGGGUGUAAAGGGCAGGUAGGCGGUCUAUUAAGUGAGGGGUGAAAUCUCCCGGCUCAGUCGGGAAACUGCCUUUCAAACUGAUAGACUUGAGUGUGAUAGGGGUAAGCGGAAUUAGCAGUGUAAGGGUGAAAUCUGUAGAUAUUGCUAAGAACACCAGCGGCGAAGGCGGCUUACUGGAUCACAACUGACGCUGAUCUGCGAAAGCUAGGGGAGCAAACAGAAUUAGAUACUCUGGUAGUCCUAGCCGUAAACGAUGAAUACUAGGUGUUGGACCGUAAGGUUCAGUGCCGCAGCUAACGCAUUAAGUAUUCCACCUGAGGACUACGACCGCAAGGUUA